This 1200-nucleotide non-coding RNA is filed under the name Cryptosporidium parvum. The record is from RNAcentral. Lineage: Eukaryota; Apicomplexa; Conoidasida; Eucoccidiorida; Cryptosporidiidae.
UAAAUCAUUUUCAAAGAAUUCUCUUUUUAAAUGAUGAUUAUUAACUUCAUUAAUACAAGAAUAUUUUGAACCAAGUGCUAAUAUACGAUACCCUUUUUUAGUACAUUCAUGUACAACAUUUUUGUAUAAAUUUUGAUCAAAUUCUGGAUCUUUUUUAAAGAAUUGAAGCAUCAUUUCUGGACUUCCUUUAGAAAUGACAAGACCAUAAGUUUUUGGAUCAGGUUUUGAAAGACUUUUAUGAAAUUUUACAGAAUGAGACGGAGAUAGAGAUUGAGAUGAAGAUGAAGAAGUUUGAGAUUUACUUGAUGAUGAAUUUUGUUUUUCUGAAGGAAUAUGCAAAAUUCCAAUAUUGGUCAUUCUUUGUUCUUCUGGUGAAAAAGGAUAUCUUCUAACUAUUGAAAAUGUUGAAUUAUCUUUAAUGUUAUGAUAAUUAUUUUCAGAUGAGUGAUGAAUUCUCCAGGAUGAUUUCUUUUUGAUGGAUUUUUCCAUAGGAUCUCCAACCAAGGUCUUUCCAUUAAGUGAAAGUCCAUUACAACAUCCCAUAAUAAGAUCAGAUAAAUAUGGUAUAUCAACAGAAGAAUUGGAUAUUGGUUCUGAUCCCAACACUUGCCUUGAUCCCGAUACUGAUGCUAACUUUUUAUUGUUCAUCUCAUCCUUAUCUUCAUUGUUAUUACUAUACUUAUCAUUAUCAUCAAAAGUAAUACAAGAAGUAUCAUCAUUAUUAUACAAGUUAAUUCCAAAUAAUCCAUGUGGUAUCAUUUUAUCACUAGUUAAAGUACCAGUUUUAUCAAAAGCACAUAUUCUAAGUUUACCAGCAAAUGGAAUUCUAAAUGGUUCAGUACAAUAAAUCUUUUUUUUGGUUAAUUGAACAACUGCCAUAGUUACAGCAACAGAAAGUGUGAUGGGGAAUUCUGGAGGAAUAACUGAAGUUAUAAUGUGAAUGCAGGAGAUAAUUAAUUUGAAUUUAUUUCUGGAAGGAUCAUUAAUUCCAUAAUAAAGUACAUAAGAAGAUGCUAUUAAUGAGCAAAAAAUUAACAUCAUUAAGAAAAUUAGUGAUUCAAGACUGUUAGAUGAGAUCUUUUCAGCUGAUGAUGAAAUUGUACGGAUUAAUUUUCCUUGAUAAGUAUUAAAUCCAGUUCUAAGAACAUAUCCAAUACAAAUCAUUUUAUCAUUAUCAUAUUUAAUGUAAGAAGAAGUGAC